Molecule: non-coding RNA, 48 nt
Filed under: Trichobilharzia regenti
Lineage: Eukaryota; Metazoa; Platyhelminthes; Trematoda; Strigeidida; Schistosomatidae
Source: RNAcentral
AGUUAGCUGACGAGUCCCAAAUAGGACGAAAUGCGCUAUAUCCUGGAU